UCCUUGAUGGUCGAGUGGCUAAGACUCCACACUCCCAAUGCAGAGGGCCUGGGUUUGAUCCCUGGUUAGGGAG
This is a non-coding RNA of Bos taurus (domestic cattle), 73 nucleotides long. The record is from Rfam. Lineage: Eukaryota; Metazoa; Chordata; Mammalia; Artiodactyla; Bovidae.